ACGAACGCUGGCGGCGUGCUUCACACAUGCAAGUCGCACGGAAAGGCCCUGCUUUUGUGGGGUGCUCGAGUGGCGAACGGGUGAGUAACACGUGAGUAACCUGCCCUUGACUUUGGGAUAACUUCAGGAAACUGGGGCUAAUACCGGAUAGGAGCUCCUGCUGCAUGGUGGGGGUUGGAAAGUUUCGGCGGUUGGGGAUGGACUCGCGGCUUAUCAGCUUGUUGGUGGGGUAGGGGCUUACCAAGGCUUUGACGGGUAGCCGGCCUGAGCGGGUGACCGGCCACAUUGGGACUGAGAUACGGCCCAGACUCCUACGGGAGGCAGCAGUGGGGAAUAUUGCACAAUGGGCUGAAGCCUGAUGCAGCAACGCCGCGUGCGGGAUGACGGCCUUCGGUUUGUAAACCGCUUUCGCCUGUGACGAAGCGUGAGUGACGGUAAUGGGUAAAGAAGCACCGGCUAACUACGUG
RNAcentral lists this ribosomal RNA (467 nucleotides) under uncultured bacterium. Its description in RNAcentral is "partial 16S ribosomal RNA". It matches the Rfam family "Bacterial small subunit ribosomal RNA", at positions 29 to 507 of the family's 1533-position model. The record is from RNAcentral.